RNAcentral lists this long non-coding RNA (270 nucleotides) under Lathyrus oleraceus (garden pea). RNAcentral describes it as "Pisum sativum (pea) long non-coding RNA (PSAT_LNC012878)". Lineage: Eukaryota; Viridiplantae; Streptophyta; Magnoliopsida; Fabales; Fabaceae. The record is from RNAcentral.
UUUGGAGAGUAAGUCAAAACUUGGAGUAAGCACUAUUAUUCUCAUUGAAAAUGUCUAAUUAAAACUAUUGUGGGAUAUUUCUUUCAGCUAAGUUCUCCUGGGCUUCAUUUAACUUUUCCAACUUUUUUACUUCGUUAUUUCUUUAUUUUCUAGUUGAUUUUCAAAUUUUCUUUGAGGACAUUGUUAUUUUUUUUCAAGUUUGCUGAUUUUUCACUCUUUCUUUUUCUUUUCAGAUUUGUACUCACAUUCAUUUGAUUUUCUCAAGUUCUA